This 10687-nucleotide small RNA is filed under the name Rattus norvegicus (Norway rat). RNAcentral's name for it is "uncharacterized LOC102549294". The record is from RNAcentral. Lineage: Eukaryota; Metazoa; Chordata; Mammalia; Rodentia; Muridae.
CAGACAGAGCAGAGCAGAGGAGGUCAUGAUUAUUUUCUCCUGCUCGGACAGAGUGGGGGCAGGGCAGGCCUUGCCUUCUUCCUGCCACCACCAAGUGACCUAGCAUUUCAGUUAGCCCUUUUGUCUGGGGCAUGAGAAGCUAUGGAAGCCAGGGGCUCCUUCCUACCAGCUAAGGAGGAUGGAACCACACAUGUCCAGCACCACCAGGGAAGGCCAGCCAUCUUCACGCCUCAUGGCCUCCUUGUGGGCUGGAUCCCUUUUGCUUGGUAGGAAUGAAUGGGUGACCAACUUUGAUGAAGGCACGGACAUUCUGAGGCCUCCGUCUGGCCGCACUGAACACCCAGGCCAUGGUUUCAUGGAGAAGACACUGAAGUCUCAAAAGCUUCAGGACAGUAGGGAAUAGUCCUUCCCCGUCUCCCAGGCAGGAGUCUGGGGCUUGUGCCCAGGGCAGUCAGUGAGGAGGGUGGACUCCUGACACUGCAAGACUAGCUGAGGUUCCCAACCACUUAACUCUCAUCAGGAGCCCAGUAGGGAGGCAGCCUGCAUCUUCCUCAGCCAUGCACAGUGGGGUGUCAUGAACUGCAAGGAGCGAGGGCUCAGAGGGAGCUUCUCAGUGAACACCCUCUUUUCUGCACUCAACACCAUAUUUGGCUGGUUCAUCGCCCGUGGGCGUCAUAAUACAGGAUAUAUUCAUCCUUCAAAUGUUCUAUUUUAAUUUUAAGCAGGGAUGUACAUCCGUGUGCCAACCUUCUGAGGCGGGCCCGGGUGCUUCUCUGAGAAGGGCCCAUGUGGCCCAGACUGUACCAUGGCCUGUGACUCUGGUUCAUGUUCUUAUCAGUGGAGACGAAAGACCCCGGGAAAUAGAGCUGAGAGCAGACUCUCACUAGAGUUUUUCAUAUCCUCCUUCUGCUUUUUUGCAGUUGGCUUGCCCACGCCUAAUUCAAUAGAUUAAAAAAAAAAAAAGGCAAGUUGCUCCUUCAAGACUUUUAUGAAAUCUUGAUUUUAAUGAAACAGCUCUGGCCUCUUUUCUGACUCUCUUGAUUAAUUUACAUAGCGUGUAACUGAGUUAUAACAAAGAUAAUAAGUAGAUGUGGGGUCAAAGGGAGCCAGCUCUCUGAGAGGUGACUGACUUGAUGUACCACAGGGCACUGGCUUUCCUUUCAAAUGUAAAGUGUGGUUUUUGGGGUGGUGGGGGUGGUGGGUGAGGUCUUCCUAGGCUCCCAGCAAGCGCAUCUUCCUCCUCCCAGCUUGGGAGCCCGAGGUCCCACUGGGGGAAGAGGAGAGCAGAAUUCUCUAUCAAGGCUGAUGACCAGGGUCCAGCCCAGCUCCAGGCUCCUUCAGGAGCUGUGUUCUGUCUCCUGACGUGAGGCACCACCAGAGGAAGUGCUGGUCACCUAGGGAAAUGGAUUGUAGGUAUAGAGGGGGAGAAAUGGGUUUUCUACCUGGUAUCCUGGAUCCAGAACCUUCUAGAAAGUCUUUGUGUCUUAGCUUUAUGCCAUCUUUUGACUGAGGGACUCAGGUCACAAAAACAAGAAGCCCAAGUCGGAGUUGGCUAAACCUCUCAACCUUCAGAGCCUUGGCUCUGGGCUCUUCAAAGCCAAGUAGCCAGUACAUGGCAGGUGCUUCGUGAAGGUCUGAUAAUGAUUUAGUGCCGCCUUGACAUGCCCUGUUAGUUUUACCACCAAAAUGGAUUUUUUUAAAAAAAAUUUUUUUAAGACAGGAUGGCCUCGAAUAGCUGUGUAGCCAAGGAUGAGUGAGUUUUUAAUCCACCUGCUUCUACUACUUGCAUGUUGGGAAUUUGAGUAUGCCUAGAUUUCUGUUUGAAGAUUUAUUUUUAUUAUGUGUGUGUGUGUACACAUGCGUGCAUGUGCGUGUGUGUACACAUGCGUGCAUGUGCGUGUGCAUCUGCAUGUGUGCGUGCACAUCAUUAUGGGUAUAUGUGCGUGAGUGCAGGUACCCAUAAAGGCCAGAAGCAUUGGAUCCCCCUGAAGCUGGAGUUAUGGGACAUCGUGAGCCACCUGAGGUGGUCUUGGGUCCUCUACAAGAGCACUAUGCAGGCUUAACACAAAGCCAUCUCUCCAGCCCACAUCCUGCCUAGUUUUGUGAUGCUGGGGCUCAUAUCCAGGUCUUUGUGCGUGCUAGGCAAGCACCCACUGGUUGGGUUACCUCACUAGGCCCCUUCAAUCGUGGUUGCGUCUGCUGCCUCCUUACUGUGAGCACUAGACACCCUUCCUCCCUCCAAGACCGUCCUGCCUCCCACCAGGAUGACUGUGACAGUCUCCUCUGCACCGUCAGGGUGUCCCAGCUGACACAGAUCCCUUGAAAGGCUCCCAUCAUCUAGAGGACCACACCCACACUCCUGUUCACCAAGGGAAGGCCUGUGUGUACUAAGUGUUCCUGAGUGAUGACUGUGCCUGCCCCUGGCUUUCCUUCCUCUGCUUCAGCCUCUUCCCCUCUUCUGUUCUUGGUCUCCCUCUUGCCACUGGCAAGACUCCAGAUUUGGCCGUUGAUGACACAGAACCAAGAAGAGGAGGGAUAGGGCUGGGUUCAUGUGCCCUUCCUGGUUCAUGAGAAUUGUAGGUAAGAACCCGACUUGCUUUUUUAGUUCCUUUACAGGUCUGGGCUGAAUGUGAAUCCACGGAGACCAGACCCUACAGACAUCACUGUUACAAACACUUACGUCGUUUUUGACUCAUUGUUGGGCUGACUAAACACUAACCCCUUGGGUCCUCAGACACAGGAGGCGGGAGGUGGUGGGCAGGAAGUGGGGCUGCCUGUUAAGACACCUGGAGCAAGUUCCUUUCCAUUCUCCCCAUUCUCCCCCCCUCCCCACUGGGACAACACAGGAACACAGGAUGGCAGCUAGCUAAUGCUAAUGGGGGUAGGACGGUCCCUGUGAGGAGCUGGUGACUAACCUCCACCUUCGUCUCUCCAUCUCUCUGGCAGGGAUGGAGGUGAUCUAUCAAUGCUUCCUGACCUGGAAUGUUCCAUCUCCCUUGUGGCUGAUCUGGGGACUUAGGCAAUUAGGAACUAGGCUUGGCUCUAAGAUGCUCAGUGACACCUGCAUCUCUUAAUGCUAUUGAACAAAUGCCAAGGGGCAGGGCCAGUGGGAUCAGAUGUCCCAGGAGUUGGGUAUGGUGUAAACCCCUGCAUUCUGUCAUCUGUUGUACAUGUUCCGAGUGUAGACAGGGUUGAUGGAGAAUUGUAGUCUUUCCAAACCAGCACAGCCCUGGAGUGAGGGGUGAGCACCAUAUCACCUGGUGGCCAAGGAUGCAUGCAAUGCACAAAGGUUAAAAGAAAUCAGAGACGAAUCCUGGAAAGCUUCCUCCAGCUACUGUCACUUGAGUUGCAUCCUUUGACAGAGCCCAAAGGUUCAGCCACGGAAAAGGAGGACUGCCUCUGGUGACAAUUUCACAACAGGAUCACAAAGCAGGGAUCAGCUGAGGAAUACUCCUUUCUUUCAGACACACUGUCCCUUGCCUGGCCUCUUUGUACCCACAGUUGUAAGCUGGGCCAGGCUUGGGUGUCCUGUGUGCGCAUAUAUGUGCAUGCAUGUGCUGUGCAUACACAGAAGCCUGAGGUUGGUGUUGGGUGUAUCGCUCUAUCACUACAUCUUUUCUGAGACUCGGUGGCCAGGAGAUUAUCAGCUCAGCAAGACUAUCGGACCAGCAAGCCCCGGACCUGCCUGUCUCCCCACUCCCAGGGCGAGGUUUACCGGUGUGUAUCACUGUGUCAGUUUUCUAUGUGGGUGCCAGGGAGAGAGCCCAGGUCCUCAGGCUUGUGCAGCAAACACACUGCUGUCAGAACCAUCUGCCCAGCCUCAUGCCUGGGGAUUUAAGUUGGGGUUCGGCCAUAGCCAUCAGGUUUAUGUGCUGAAGACUCAAAUCCCAUGUCCAAUCUGCUCUUGUAAAGCAAAAGAAGGCAGUGUUGGCUAGCAGGUGGCCACUUCCAGUCACUGGGGAAAAGACAGAGGCUUCAUGUCACGUGGGCCUUGCAAAUGUGUCACCAAGUUGCAGAAGCUGCUUGCAGUGGUCUCGGAGGCAGCCUUUUCUUUGCUCUGACCCUGUAAUCUGGGGUAAUCUGCCACCAAUGUUGCUUUCCCUCUGAACGGUGACCAGGACUAGAAAUCUUCUAGGGUCUAAAUGAAGCGUUUAGGCUCACAAACCUUUGGCCUCUGCUCUUCCACCCUCUGCAAGUUGCUAGCCUGGAGGCAGCGUCUGGGAGUGAGCACUUGUUGCUUGUUUUUGGCCUACACUUUGGCUUUUUGACAGAGGUAGGAGAACCCUGGGAGUCUCGGAUCUGAGAGCCUGCAGGAGAAGAGGUAUUCUUACCCAGACUUAUAGGGCUCCACCACGAGGCAGGAGUGGGAGCCUCCCCUCUAGGUUUCCUUACAGCCGGCUGCCUGACUUCCUGGUCCACUUGUUGGAGGGCCUGAUCUUCCCAGGGAUUUUCCCAUCGUGCUGGACCCUCGACCUCAGCAGUGGCUGGGUAGCUUAGAGCUGCCUGGCCUGUUUCUCUGGGGCUGAGCUGGUUUUUUUCCCUCUCUAGUUCAUUCUUGGAUGGAUUUGCAAUUUGACUGUCACCAUGGAAACUCUUGAGUUUUGGUACAUGAGGCUGGUUGGGGGUGGGGUAGGAACUCUUCCUUUUUGGAAAAUCUCCCUUGAAUGCCUCACAGGACACAUGUGGCUGCUGCUGACCUAGCUGGGAUGGCUUGGGACAGGGAUGAAAGGCUAGGCUCUGGGGACCUGUCUCCAGGCUCUGCUUAGCCACGACCUCUCUCCAUGACCCUAGUCACCUCUUCAAGAUUCAUGACCAAGAGUUUUGGUCAAUACCCAGCAGUUACUUAUGUAGACUUAGUGUGAGGUCAGCUCAGUAGUGGACAAGCUGCUGAUAUCCCUGCCUGAUUGAAAAGUCAGGAAACCAUCUUCCCACCGGGAGCCAUGCUACAUCCACCUGCCCAGUGCAAAGAUGGGGGCAGGCUGUGAGCUUGGGAGACCCUGGAGAGCAGUGGCUGCUCUGCUCCAAGGAGCCCAAAGUCUCCUGAAGCUAUGGGAGUUAGGGAAGUAGGGAGAUAUUUUCCAACAUCCUGCCAAGAAGCAGCAGAUGGUGGGAAAUUUUGCAUACUAAAAACAACAAAAAAUAUUUUUAACGUAAAGGAAAGACAGUUAGGCCUUGGGGAGGGCAAAGGAACCCCCAAUGAAUCCUCCUGGGCCGCCAGACCAGCACAGCACAGAUGUGGUUGGCUCUGCCAAGAUGGCUUAGCCCUCAUAGUCAGGAAUAGGUGUAUGGGUGUGUGUGUGUGUGUGUGUGUGUGUGUGUAUGUCCCCGUUCAGGUGGCAGCAGGUGGGGGUCAUGUGAUAAGGUGACCCUGAAGCACAGGCUUGGGUUUGUGUCAUUUUCCAGUUGUGCACCCUUAGGCUGUUUUCUUUACCUAUCUAUGCUCGGCGGAGCCAUGGGUGAAUGAUGGCUCCCUCUGUAGUGGCUGUGAGCAUUCAACGAAGAACAAGGACAUGCAUCAUGGGCUCAUGUCCUCUAGCAUGGGGCUUGUUUCUUUGCUCUGGGCCCAGCCUACAUCACUGGGCGGGGCUGACUCUUCUAACGGAGUGUGGUGGCUCCAGCCGUGGUUCACAGGCUGAGGAGAGUGUCUGAUGCACUUAGAGCAUGGUUAGAGGCUGGGCUGGCAUUCAUGUCCAUCUUUGGCUGAGGUCCUUGCUCUCUCACCAGAGUAUACAUGGCAUGCUCCUGUCUCACCUAAUGACUUUAAACUCUCCUCCCCAGUCAGCUGACUCAUUCCUUUCUCCACAUGGGCCCUGCAUCAGAGAGGCUGUCUCACGCAUGCCCACUGUUUUGGUUUGAACCCUGGUUCUGCUUUGGAUACCUCUGGGCAAAUAUCAUACCCUAGACCUCAAUUUGUCUCAUCUGUGAAAUGGACAGGAAGGAGGGAAGAGAGAAAGACGGAAAACUGUCCAGCAAGAUGAGAUUCAGCAGGGGAAAAGACCAAACACUACACAAGCUGAUAAGAUUUUCAAAAACCAGAGUUCAACAUAAUGCCCAGGAAUCUCUUCAAUUUGUUUCUACUUCCCAGAGUCCUCUGCACCAGGAGCAGAGGGAGCCCACCCACCUGGCUGCCUCCACUUCCUGUUUUUCCUGCUUUGGCCUCCUCUCCCUGCCUGGAGCUACCCAAGGGAAGGCCACCUUAUGACCCAAAUCCAUCUCCUUCCAAGCCUGCCUAGCCCUAGAUAAAGUCACUUGCUAACUGCACUCUGAGCCGUGCAGGGCAGUGAGGUCAGUAUGGGGAUAGGUAGUUCACCAGGCCAGCAGAACAGGUGAUGGCAGAGCCCCAGCCAGGCACCUCUCAUCUGUCUUCCUGGAGGGACACUCAGAUAACCUCAGCCUGGGCAGGCACUGGGGUAGAGGGUGGAAAGUUGCCACAGACUGGGAUAAAUAGCUCUGAGGGGAGUGUUCUGCUCUUGAGGGUAGGAGAAGAGAGCAGUGGCCUCAUCCUCUGGUUUGUCCUCAGAGCUCCAGCCAGAACUGAGGAUGGCCCAAAGCUAGGGGAACCUGUCCUUCCAGGAAUGGGUCCACUGGCAGUCAGAAGAGGCUCCAUGUCUACCUGUCUUUCCUUGGGACCAGGUGACAGGAGUCAUGGUAUGCUUCCAACCUGUCCUAGUGUGUAGUCAGGGACAGGCACAGGAUCUAGGUACUUUCCUUUCCUGACACUCUUCAAGGCUGCCCCUAGAGGCUCUGAGGAUGACCCCAGGUGGGAAGAGGCAACAGGGAAGCACAGUGCUGAAUGACAAGUCAGAUCCAGGGCUCGGAGGGGUCCAAGUGCUGGCUUAUUCAUGAACAUCGAUUUUAAUUUUCUCUCCUUCGGGCUCACAGACAGAUAGGAGGCACCAGCUAAUGAAGACAAAUUCACAGAUCAAUAAAGAUGUGGUCGCCGGUGUGAAAACCCUCUGGUCCCCUAACCACAAAUGAGGAGCUCUGGGUAGUAGGAGGAGGGAUGUUAAGAACUGCUCCCUGAGAGAGAACAGGACAUACAGAGCAGGGUAGAGUGUGACAGUGUGGGAGAGACAGUGUUUGGGGAGAGGUCAGAGAGGGCUUCCUGGAAGAGGAGGGAUUUACAAAUUAACACCAUUUAAGCAGGCACAGGAGUAGGCUUGGGGUAGGCCAGGCCUCCCCGACAGUGCAGGGAAAGCCGCAACUUAGCAAUGGGCUCUUUGGAGGAUCAGGAAGCCCUUAGGAGGAAGCCCCUGAGGGAAAGGGGGUAAACUGGUUUGUGUAGGCUCUGGCUUCUGGCGGACACACACAAAAUGAGGGAGCCUGUGUGUUCUGCGCUCCUUGGCUGACAGGUGACAUGAGCCUUUGUUUCCUCCCGACUUGAACUUUUACCUCUCUCAUGGCUUUGAAAAUGGUCUCCUUGAGGCUGGUAAGAUGGCUCAGUGGAUUAAAGGUGCUUGCCACAAACCUGCCAGUCUGAGUUAGAAGAGAACCCGCUCCCGCCAGUUGUCCUCUGACCUCCAACUGACCCCAUCCCCUGGAAUAAAUUAAUGAGGAUAAAGAAAUCUGGAUCUGACUGUGACUUCUCAAAAUCCUCCUGCCUUAGCUGCCUAAGAGCUGGGCUCGCGGGUGUGCCCCAGUCUGUAUACUCUGUCUCUAUCCCUCCAAGUCUCACUGUCACAGUUUUCCAUCCAGAGGAGCCUCAGACCCAGGAUGUCUGUGUUCAGAGACUGGCAAGAGGAUGGGCUAGCUGCCUGCCUGGCUCUGAUGGGCCCUCGUCUCUGCCAUGCUCCUGGGAGGAGUGAGGAAUCAGCUGGGGACCUUCUGCAACGUCACCCUUGCCCUGGCAUGGACAGGCUGUCCAGGGAGGGAGCAGUGUAUAGCAGAGCCAGCACUUUUAUCCCCAGAGUGGAUUGGAAUCAGGCAGGGUGGGAGCCCAGAUCCGCUCACUUCACCCACACUCCCAAAGGCUGUUCAGUCCGGAGUGUGUGGGAUGAAGUUGUAGGUUUAAGCAGCAAGGCAGGUGGGCAGCGGCAGAGGGUCACGCUGUACUGUGUACAAAGAGCUCAGCCCAGCAGCCCCCUGGGGCAGUGCUGCGCCCCCUUGGCUGCACUUGAGUCAGACAUAGCUUCCAGGAGGGCAAGGCACCUCAAGAUCUCACCUUGCAUAUGGAAUUGGCUAAUCCCCUGAGGCUGUCAUUGGAUUUGGGCAAAUUAGAGGUGACAGCCAUGCCCCUAACCUUUGUGGUGUGGCUAAUGAGGGCCUUCUGCUCUGGGAAAUCAAUUUCUAAGCCAGCACAGACAUUGGGACAGGCAGGGGCUUCUGUGAGGAGGGGGAGGCAUGGAGCGGGGACUCUUCCCUGUGUAAGGUUCCUUCCUGUUUUGAGACUGCUGCUCAGCAUAACCAAGGGCUUAAAGGCAGGAUGAGGCCACAAGCCUGGGCCUUCCUUUUAAAGCAGAUCCACAGUCAUGGCUACUCAAGAACAGCGGCCUCUGUAUCUCUGAGAGCUACAGGAGAUGCAGUUUCUAGAACACUGCAGGCAUUUCCUGUCCCCUCUGUGCUGAGACUACUACACACGCUGCUUGGACUCUGUACCCGGCAUCCCCUGUUGCAGGGGCAGUCAAGGCAGACAGUCUGCCUCUUCCCUUGUAGGCCCUCUUCUCUGCCACGCUCCAGGAGGGAGUGGGUAUCCGCUCAUGAUGUUCCAGACACAGAGUCCCACACAGACCCCACACCAUAUGCAAAGCCCAAAUCUGCAGCAGCUACCGCUGGGAUCUGUAGCAGCACCGAUGCACAGGACAAAACUAAUGGCCCUUUGCUGGGUCUGGUGGAAAAGUAGCCAGAGAGGGCUUGAGAACCACAGCACCCCUACACACACACACACACACACACACAAAAAGUAGCCAGAGAGGGCUUGAGAACCACAGCACCCCUACACACACACACACACACGCACAGUGCCUCUUCCCUAGCCUUUGAUAUCCAAUUCCUCCCACAGCCCAGACAAACUAUGACUUUCUUGUACUUAUUUUCUUUACCAAGGUGGUGGCGAUCCUGCACUACAAAGACCAGGGUCAAACACUUGGAAGUGCCUGUGGGACCAACAGUGCCUUCUCAGGUGGCUCACACUGACUCCUCGUCCUCUCUCUAAUUGGUCCUUCUUGGUCUGUGUGCCCUUGUGUACGUUUGGUAGCUUCUGCUGUCUUUACAUAAAAAAACAACAACAAAACAAAAAACCCUAGUUACCUUCCACAGCAUCUCCAGACCAUAAAGCCCCUGCAAGGAGUAAAAUGAGCAGAGAUGGGACAGGGUGGCGAUGUUGGUAAAGGGACUGCAAGACAGCGUGUUCUGAGCACUUAGCACAGUGUGAGGUGGAACUGGGCAAUCAGAUUAGGCUUUGGAGGCAGUAUGGGGGGCUGUGGGGAGAGUGUGUGUGUGUGUGCGCGUGUGUGUGCGCGCGUGUGUACGUGUGCAUGUGUGUACUGACACAGUCUUUCCUGUGUAGCUGGCCUCCCUGAACAAUCUGCACAUUACUUCCUGUUUGGAAUUCCUCAGUUAGGGCUCCUUCCUUUGGCGGGGUCCUUGAACUCUAAGAUGAGAUGACUAGGGGAGAGGAGACACUGUUCCAGCCCCUCCUCCAUCGUCCUCAGGGGAACACAACAUUCCACAACAAGGCUUUCUUUCUCAGGAGCCCACAGGCUCUAAGAGGUGUGUCCUAAGGCUAGCUGGGGGAGCCCAGGCUGGCAGGCCCGGGAGAUGGCUAUGCAGUCUCCUCUAUGCUCACAGCAGGCACAGGGCCACUAUGAGCAAGGGCCAUGUGUGAGAAUUAGCUAUAGGGACUCACAUGUGACAGCCUGGGCCCUGCCUUCCACUACAGUGAGCUAGGUGGCCGAUGUGAGGAGCCCCAGGACGUCCACUUGUUUUUCUUGCAACAAGUGCAUCAUUCUUCUGUUUUCUUUCUUUACACAGAGACAUGGAUACCAGAAGAAUUUCUCUUUUUCCUUCACGGAUGCAAGCUUGGGCCUGGUGUAUGCAAGUAUCACCCAGGCACCUCUGUAAACUAGGACAUGGGUACAAAUUUUCAAGCUUGGAUUAAUGGCAGAGCCUCCAAUACGGUCUCAUCCAACCCCAAGUGACAUACUGAUGGAGACCUGUGAGAAGUGGAACUGAAGACCCCCAGCAGGAGCGAGCAGGGCUGUAGCCAGGCUCACCCAGCACGUGGUGGAGGGGAUUAAAUGUGUGACGCCACAUCCAGACCUGGACCAGCAGAGCUGUCUGUGGCACACGGAGCCAUCCUUUGUCUUUCAUCCCUGCCAGCAUCCUCAAGAGAUUUCCAGACAUAGCUGAGCUGGCAACGUAAACUGUAUCUGGGAUUUACUUCAGUCAGGUUCCCACCUCGGGGAGCAGGGCCAGGGGGUGCCAAGGAGAUGGCGCACACAGGGUCUAAUGUCCUUAGGUUCUGACCCCUCUCUAAUGGCCACAGAGAAUCACAGGUGCCACCUCUGAGGUAUAGUGUCACAGGUAAGAGUUCCCAGCAGAGAGCAGGUGUGAGAGGUUCUCAUAUUGUUUCCAGGUCAGCCUGGUGUACAGGUUCGGCACAUCGGAAGACUAACGAUUGUGUGUAUGUUGUGUGUGUGAUGGGUGUGAUGGGUGUGUGUGUGAUGGGUGUAUGGGUGUGUGUGUGUGA